This is a long non-coding RNA of Hordeum vulgare subsp. vulgare (domesticated barley), 2168 nucleotides long. RefSeq lists it as uncharacterized. The record is from RefSeq and is a predicted model, not a curated record. The transcript is spliced from 5 exons. Lineage: Eukaryota; Viridiplantae; Streptophyta; Magnoliopsida; Poales; Poaceae.
CUCGUCAUUGUAGCAGCCUUAGCAGCUCUACCUCGAGGGCAACGCGCUCUCCGGCGGCCUCGAGUUCCUGGAGGCCCUGGUGAUCCGCGACAUGGGGCGGAUCGGGGUUACCGUCCCGAGAACCCUCUCGGGGCUCACGCGCCUCCAGCAGCUCUACCUCGAGGGCAACGCACUCGCCGGCGGGGUACCCGGGAAGAUGUUGUCCAGGAUGAGCUCCCUCCGCUACCUCUCGCUCGCCGGCAACCGGCUGGAGGGCACGCUGUCGCCGGAGCUCGGGGACGUUCGCGGUCUAGUCUGAGGAGCUCCUCGUCGCUUCCGUGGCUUAAUGACACGGACAUUCUCUCUUUUGCUUUGUUGUUCAUUUAUGAUGUUGUGCACUGCAGUAGAUAGGAAUCCAGGGGAGAAGUGUAGGAACUGGGCAUCGAGGACGUGACGCCGGAGCGGCUGUCCGGGCUCAUCGCGGCUAUGCCGGCCUCGUCGACAAGGUCCCCUCCAUGAAGGCAUUCCACUAAAUACAACAGUGCAGAGAUAUGGCCGUCCUUCAAUGAACCUGCCCAGAAUUUCAGGACGCGGAUUUUUUUAGCUGUGUUGUGGGUCAUAAAACGUGCUUGUUCUGCAUCCACAAAUGGUCCGACACACGUACGUACCACCCCAAUCAGAAGAAAUUGCUGAAAGUCUGGUUACACAAUGCUAGCCCAAAGAAGUUAUUGUAACAGUAUCAUGCAUGAUCCCUGGACUAUAUUGAGAGUUUGGUACCAAGGGAAAUGACUGCAGGGCUUCAGGCUCCCAGACAGCAUGCGUAUUACUACGGUGAAACGAAAAAUGUUUUGAGGUGGUAUUGUGGAAAGGAGACUAAUGUUGAUUCCUGCUAUUAGUCUCACCAUUGGCUCCCUUCAGUACAGUCUGGAUGCCCAGAGGAGUCGAGUUGGGUGGGCUUCCAAGGAGAGGAGUAUCCCAUGCAUUAAGAGCCGAGCUAGCUGUGCUUCCAUUGAGAGGAGCACUCCUGAAGAAGAUGAUUUUGUCCUGUGUCAUGCUUCCAGGAAAAGUUCAAGCUCAUACGAGCCAACGACGAUGCUACUAUGUUGGACGCUCUCUCACUCAGCACCCCCAAUUAGACUGCUUCGCAGCUUGACAAUCGAAAAGAAGAACUCUGUUCAGGUACAUAUAUUCGGUAGUAACAUAUGGAGUCAUCAAAUAUCUUGUGGCAUGAUUGCCCAGUGGGCAAGACUGACCGGCAAAAUCUACUAAAGCAGAAAGGGUGUGUUGUUUGGAUUACAGGCCUUAGUGGUACACGUAAUUCAAGAUUACCUAGGUUGUGAGGUGUGCUUCAUGAAAUGCGAGUGCAUUUUUUGAGUUAUUUAAGUAUGGGUCAUUCAACUACAUUUUUUGCCUACAGACCGGUAUAUCUUACUUUAGAUUAAUCAUUUCAGCUUCACACAAUUAAUUAAGGCCAAAAGGGGUCAAUUUUAGGACUCUUCAUAAUUUAGCUGUCAUUUUUUUGUAUUAUUAUUGUUCAGUCCAUCUUUAUAGGUUACAUCAUAUUAAAGUAUUAAAUUCAUCACAAAAUAACUUCCAAGUGCUCAAAGGGCAACUCUUAAAAUUGCCAAGAGUAAAAUAAUCUCAUGCAAGUUUUUGAUCUGAGUCACUCAUGUGUUUUGAAGUCAGCGAGGGAUCCCCUUAUUUCCUCUCGUGCUACUUCUGGUUCAUAUAUUGCAUAAAAUUCGGAGAUUUCACUUGAUACAAGUGGAACAUCUGGAGUUUUGUGCGAAUACUUCCUAUCAUGUGAAUCAGUGGUAGUUGGUUUAAUUGGCUAGACUCAAACUUCUCGCAUAUGAGUUCAAAAACAUUUGUCGCUUCAAGGUUUCCACCAUGGAUUGCUUGUUUUUGUGCCUUGUUUCUAUUCUUGAUCUGUAUCUUGUAGCUCUUAAAAAUAUGGUUGUUUCUUCUACAGGACCUCCAGGCCUAAGAAAGUUGAAGUGCGAAGCCUUGAAAACAAUUGUGUGAAGCUCUACUUAUCCAAGAAUGCAUAUUAUAUAUUGUAAUAAUAGACAUAUCUGCUUUGUAACAGACUGGAAAAAUUGUAAUAUACUACCUUCGUGUUAAUUUGAUGAAUUUCACAUGUUCUUUCUGCUCUAUUUGAAAUAUUCAUAUCGUAUGCGAUUUGAAAA